Molecule: long non-coding RNA, 2774 nt
Organism: Onychomys torridus (southern grasshopper mouse)
Lineage: Eukaryota; Metazoa; Chordata; Mammalia; Rodentia; Cricetidae
Exons: 4
Source: RefSeq, a predicted model, not a curated record
UACAGAGAUUUUACAAAAGGUCAGUGCUGGCUAUGCGAGCUGAGACAGGGCUUCCGGGUGCUGCUGUACCAACUCUGCACAGCAGAGGGCAGCGUGGGCAUACCUAGUAGACCAGUAAUAAGCUUGAAGGAUAGGGGUCAUGCAGGAAGCUGGCAAGAGAUUAGGACAGAGAAGCCAAGUCCAGAAAGGGAAGCCAGAAAAGAGCCAAUUGGCCUUUGCUGAGAACCAAUCCUGGGGCAGCUGGCAGCCUCUUGACCACUGAGGCUUUAAGUCUGGAGUUUCCCCAGGAGGGCCAUCCCACUCUCGGUGUCAGAGAGGAAGAGAAGGCAAACACAGAGGACAAAAGAAAGCCAUUGGGAGAUUCUGUAACCUCACACCGCGUCCUCUAAGAAGCAGAAGAGGACAGCUGACCCUCUCGUAAGAAUGGGCAAAGAGAGCUACUGAGAGACUCUACUUACACUGAAUGAACUACCUUCAUUCCAUACUGCUCUCCUCAACUGAAUGAACAUCUUGUCGGCUUAACACUGAUGGGAAAUGAGUGGAAGGAAACGCUGCAGGCGUGUGAGUGUACCUGUAUGUGCUGGCGGUCACAGACAGGUCAGCUGUCCCACUGACCAAGCAAAUAAGAGACACCAUACCUGAUGAAAAGACUGAAAUUCAGGAACCUACCUGUGUCCCAUGGCUAGUAACAGGCUGAGGACCUGAAAAAGACAUUGCCUGUCUUCGGAGCAGGAUUAUUACUACUCAGAAUGUGGCCCAGAGACCAGCUUCUUCCCCAGUGUCACCUCAGCUUUCUGGAGACACAGUCUCAGGAGCCGGCCAGAACACAUGGAUCAGAAUACUUAACAAGAUGCCGCAGGUGACUAAUUUACACAUUCUUAUGGUUUGAGAGGCACCGGUCUCUACCACUUCCUCUCCUGUCCUUUCCUGUGGCUUUCAACACAUGGAAUCACCUUGUUCUUGAUUCUUUAUUUCCUCCCUUUUCUUAGUGGUUCAGAUUUCAAUUAUCCAGGAUGCAUCCCUAGCAACAACAAAAACGUAUCUUCAGCACACAAAACUACAAACCACUGCAGCUUCAAAGACAAACUGUUUUGACUCCAAGCUUCUGCUCCUGUCCCCUCCACAUUGAGAGGAUCCCCAUCGUCUUCAGAACAGCAGUAGUUACCAGCUUUUCUUCUGAUAUAUCUAACCAUUUCCACAGGCUGCUGCUACCCUAUGAUGACAAAGAUGGAGGCGAUGAUGGCUGUGAGCCUUUGUUGGCGCCCAGCGCAGGAGGAAGAGAACACAGAGGAUCCCGGUGGGCUGAGUUCUGGUGAAUUGAGUAUGAUUCCAUAUCAGGACAUGAAGUAUCCUACUGUAUGAACUGCUGCCAACACAGCCACCUCAGCGCUGCCAGGCUGGGGACUGACGUCAAGGCACAUGAAUAGCAGGUCCCCAGCUCAUCCUCAGAGGCCCCUGACAGGCCAAGUCCCAGCCUCACUCACAUGCAGGCAUAGCCUGGCACAAGCCAGCACUACCUCCCCGGACACCCCCUCUACCAUCAGGCCUCUUGGGGAAUCUAGGCUUUUUGUUGCUCUCCCACCCCCACGCCCCAACAGUGGUUCCACAUAGUGUUCGGUUCUUCUCUUUUCUCCCCACAGACAAGCACCCUGGCUUUGUUCCUCUACUCCUGCCUUGUUCCACAGCACUCUCUGUGGACUCAGAGACUGAUGAGUUUCCAAGAGCCUGUGAGUCCAGCUGGAGAGGAGGAAGCUCUGGCAGGGAGGGGCUUAACAGCUGGCCAGAGGACAGGGUCAGGCUGGGACAGAGACUGUGGCCUAGUGUUCUCACUCUGCCUCAGUGGUUUACCUGCCUGUGUUCCACGAAGUUCCUAAGGAGAGGGAAGAUGAAGUAGGGCUAGAGACAGGGCCUCCUCCAUAUUCCUUCGCUCCCUAAAUCUAUCUGCCCACUCUCUAGAGGGACUCCCUGCCCUUCUGUUCCUGUGUGGCUUGUUGUUUUCCACUUUGCUGAUCCACAGGUGCAAAGCUCUGCCCUAGAUCCCGUCUUGCCCUCAGGGUUCUGAGACACUUUGGAGUUCUUAUUCUUUGAUCCUCCUCACAGCCCUUUCAAGUAGCAAAGGCGAGGGCUAUCAGUCUCUCUUGAACUGAGGAGACAGACACAGGAAACAUUUGUCCCACAAGCCAUUCCUGUGGAGUUCUGCCUGGGAAUGGUGUCAUCACACCUACAAAGCUUUGCAAGCACUGAAUCCAGGCUCUGGGGUUGGGCCAGCAUGUAGCUGUGUUUUAUAAGAUAAUUCUAGAUAAUAUCAAGGCCUAAGACCCUCAGCACUAAGUCUUCCUCAGUACCAAGUAACAAGGAGCUCCAUCCCAAAGUUGAAAGUGGAGGUUGAAAGAACAGAUCUCAGAACCCAAGAGAUUUUUUGUUUAUUUAUCUGUUUUGAGCUGACCUCAAUAUAAAUUGCAUUGCAGUAUGUCUCUUUAGGACUUUGGGGGUGGGAACGGGGACAGGGUCUCACUGUGUAUCCCUAGUCAACCUGAACUUACUUUGUAAAUCAGGCUGACUUUGAACUCAAGAGAUUCACCUGCCUCUGCCUCCCAAGAGUUGGGAUUAAAGGCGUGUGCUGGCUUCUUAGCAAUCUUUAGUAAGGAUAGGCUGAAAUUACUCUCCUACAUGCUUUCUCAUCCAUUUGAUUUGAAACUGUGAUGGUCAAAGUCACUCAUACACAUUUAUGCAAAUGAGCCAUAAUAGUAAUAAAGAUGCCAGUGGGAAAAGUC